This 95-nucleotide microRNA precursor is filed under the name Poecilia formosa (Amazon molly). Its description in RNAcentral is "miRNA (ENSPFOG00000021178.1)". The stretch from base 7 to 83 matches the Rfam family "mir-182 microRNA precursor family". Lineage: Eukaryota; Metazoa; Chordata; Actinopteri; Cyprinodontiformes; Poeciliidae. The record is from RNAcentral.
CUCUCCCACAGUGUUUGGCAAUGGUAGAACUCACUCUGGUGGGCUGGAAGGAUCCGGUGGUUCUAGACUUGCCAACAACUGACUGAGAGCUUUGA